This 820-nucleotide ribosomal RNA is filed under the name uncultured marine archaeon. RNAcentral describes it as "bacterial SSU rRNA". It matches the Rfam family "Archaeal small subunit ribosomal RNA", at positions 47 to 873 of the family's 1478-position model. The record is from RNAcentral.
AGCCAUGCGAGUCAUUGUAGUAAUACAAGGCAGACGGCUCAGUAACGCGUAGUCAACCUAACCUAUGGACGGGGAUAAUCUCGGGAAACUGAGCAUAAUACCCGAUAGAACAUUAUGCCUGGAAUGGUUUAUGUUCCAAAUGAUUUAUCGCCGUAGGAUGGGACUGCGGCCUAUCAGUUUGUUGGUGAGGUAAUGGCCCACCAAGACUAUUACAGGUACGGGCUCUGAGAGGAGUAGCCCGGAGAUGGGUACUGAGACACGGACCCAGGCCCUAUGGGGCGCAGCAGGCGAGAAAACUUUGCAAUGUGCGAAAGCACGACAAGGUUAAUCCGAGUGGUUUCUGCUAAAGGAACCUUUUGACAGUCCUAGAAACACUGUUGAAUAAGGGGUGGGCAAGUUCUGGUGUCAGCCGCCGCGGUAAAACCAGCACCUCAAGUGGUCAGGAUGAUUAUUGGGCCUAAAGCAUCCGUAGCCGGCUCUGUAAGUUUUCGGUUAAAUCUGUACGCUCAACGUACAGGCUGCCGGGAAUACUGCAGAGCUAGGGAGUGGGAGAGGUAGACGGUACUCGGUAGGAAGGGGUAAAAUCCUUUGAUCUAUUGAUGACCACCUGUGGCGAAGGCGGUCUACCAGAACACGUCCGACGGUGAGGGAUGAAAGCUGGGGGAGCAAACCGGAUUAGAUACCCGGGUAGUCCCAGCUGUAAACCAUGCAAACUCAGUGAUGCAUUGGCUUGUGGCCAAUGCAGUGCUGCAGGGAAGCCGUUAAGUUUGCCGCCUGGGAAGUACGUACGCAAGUAUGAAACUUAAAGGAAUUGGCGGGG